CGUGCCUAACACAUGCAAGUCGAACGGAGUUCUUAAGGAUUGCGACUUCGGUCAAAUGACUUUUGAACUUAGUGGCGGACGGGUGAGUAACGCGUGAGCAACCUGCCUUUCAGAGGGGGAUAACAUUUGGAAACAGAUGCUAAUACCGCAUAAGAUUACAGUACCGCAUGAUACAGUGAUCAAAGGAGCAAUCCGCUGAAAGAUGGGCUCGCGUCCGAUUAGAUAGUUGGUGAGGUAACGGCUCACCAAGUCGACGAUCGGUAGCCGGACUGAGAGGUUGAACGGCCACAUUGGGACUGAGACACGGCCCAGACUCCUACGGGAGGCAGCAGUGGGGAAUAUUGCACAAUGGGCGAAAGCCUGAUGCAGCAACGCCGCGUGAGGGAAGACGGUUUUCGGAUUGUAAACCUCUGUUUUCGGUGACGAAUAAAUGACGGUAACCGAGUAGGAAGCCACGGCUAACUACGUGCCAGCAGCCGCGGUAAUACGUAGGUGGCAAGCGUUAUCCGGAGUUACUGGGUGUAAAGGGAGCGCAGGCGGGAUAGCAAGUCAGCUGUGAAAACUAUGGGCUCAACCCAUAAACUGCAGUUGAAACUGUUAUUCUUGAGUGGAGUAGAGGCAAGCGGAAUUCCGAGUGUAGCGGUGAAAUGCGUAGAUAUUCGGAGGAACACCAGUGGCGAAGGCGGCUUGCUGGGCUCUAACUGACGCUGAGGCUCGAAAGUGUGGGGAGCAAACAGGAUUAGAUACCCUGGUAGUCCACACUGUAAACGAUGAUUGCUAGGUGUGGGGGGUCUGACCCCCUCCGUGCCGGAGUUAACGCAAUAAGCAAUCCACCUGGGGAGUACGGCCGCAAGGUUGAAACUCAAAUGAAUUGACGG
Molecule: ribosomal RNA, 878 nt
Filed under: uncultured bacterium
Lineage: Bacteria
Description: bacterial SSU rRNA
Rfam family: Bacterial small subunit ribosomal RNA
Source: RNAcentral